AAGAUCCUAUAUUCAAGAAAAAAUCAGAAGCCAAUACAAAGAACCGUGCCAUGUUACCCUAUCCGCACACUGGCGGUUCAAAAUCAAAUCAUGUUCGAGCACAAGAGAUGGUUCCACCAAGUGCAAUUGAUGCCUGGACUGCUGCUCACAUAAAAAAGGAUGGCCAAUUUGUGAAUAAU
This is a non-coding RNA of Coffea arabica (coffee), 179 nucleotides long. The record is from RefSeq and is a predicted model, not a curated record. Lineage: Eukaryota; Viridiplantae; Streptophyta; Magnoliopsida; Gentianales; Rubiaceae.